CAGACUGCGAGUGCUAAGAUCCGUAGUCGAAAGGGAAACAGCCCAGACCACCAGCUAAGGUCCCCAAAUAAUUGUUAAGUGGAAAAGGAUGUGGGGUUGCACAGACAACUAGGAUGUUAGCUUAGAAGCAGCUAUUCAUUCAAAGAGUGCGUAAUAGCUCACUAGUCGAGUGACCCUGCGCCGAAAAUGUACCGGGGCUGAAACAAUUUACCGAAGCUGUGGAUCCCUUAGGGGAUGGUAGGAGAGCGUUCUAUGUGCGCAGAAGGUGUACCGCAAGGAGCGCUGGAGUGCAUAGAAGUGAGAAUGCCGGUAUGAGUAGCGUAAGACAGGUGAGAAUCCUGUCCACCGUAAGACUAAGGAUUCCAGGGGAAGGCUCGUCCGCCCUGGGUUAGUCGGGACCUAAGGAGAGACCGAUAGGUGUAUCCGAUGGGCAACAGGUUGAUAUUCCUGUACUAGAGUAUUGAGUGAAGGAGGGACGCAGCAGGCUAACUAGAGCGUGCGAUUGGAAGAGCACGUCCAAGCAGUGAGGUGAGGACUGAGUCAAAUGCUUAGUUCUGCGCCACCAAGCUGUGACGGGGAGCGAAGUUUAGUAGCGAAGCUAGUGAUGUCACUCUGCCAAGAAAAGCUUCUAGCGUUAAUGAAUACUCUACCCGUACCGCAAACCGACACAGGUAGUCGAGGCGAGUAGCCUCAGGUGAGCGAGCGAACUCUCGUUAAGGAACUCGGCAAAAUGGCCCCGUAACUUCGGGAGAAGGGGCGCUGGCGAUAAGUCAGCCGCAGUGAAAAGGCCCAAGCAACUGUUUAUCAAAAACACAGCUCUCUGCGAAAUCGUAAGAUGAAGUAUAGGGGGUGACGCCUGCCCGGUGCUGGAAGGUUAAGAGGAGCGCUUAGACGUUUGUCGAAGGUGUGAAUUGAAGCCCCAGUAAACGGCGGCCGUAACUAUAACGGUCCUAAGGUAGCGAAAUUCCUUGUCGGGUAAGUUCCGACCCGCACGAAAGGCGUAAUGAUUUGGGCACUGUCUCAACGAGAGACUCGGUGAAAUUUUAGUACCUGUGAAGAUGCAGGUUACCCGCGACAGGACGGAAAGACCCCAUGGAGCUUUACUGCAGUUUGAUAUUGCGUAUCUGUUACACAUGUACAGGAUAGGUAGGAGCCAAGGAAGAGUGAACGCUAGUUUACUUGGAGGCGAUGUUGGGAUACUACCCUUGUGUGAUGGCUACUCUAACCCGGUAGGUUGAUCAUCUACGGAGACAGUGUCUGACGGGCAGUUUGACUGGGGCGGUCGCCUCCUAAAGUGUAACGGAGGCGCCCAAAGGUUCCCUCAGACUGGUUGGAAAUCAGUCGCAGAGUGUAAAGGUAUAAGGGAGCUUGACUGCGAGACAGACAAGUCGAGCAGGGACGAAAGUCGGGCUUAGUGAUCCGGUGGUACCGUAUGGAAGGGCCAUCGCUCAACGGAUAAAAGCUACCCUGGGGAUAACAGGCUUAUCUCCCCCAAGAGUUCACAUCGACGGGGAGGUUUGGCACCUCGAUGUCGGCUCGUCGCAUCCUGGGGCUGUAGUCGGUCCCAAGGGUUGGGCUGUUCGCCCAUUAAAGCGGCACGCGAGCUGGGUUCAGAACGUCGUGAGACAGUUCGGUCCCUAUCCGUCGCGGGCGAAGGAAAUUUGAGAGGAUCUGCUCCUAGUACGAGAGGACCAGAGUGGACUUACCGCUGGUGUACCAGUUGUUCUGCCAAGAGCAUCGCUGGGUAGCUAAGUAGGGAGGGGAUAAACGCUGAAAGCAUCUAAGUGUGAAGCCCCCCUCAAGAUGAGAUUUCCCAUAACGUUCAGUUAGUAAGAGCCCUGAGAGAAGAACAGGUAGAUAGGUUGGGAGUGGAAGCGUUGUGAGACGUGAAGCGGACCAAUACUAAUCGCUCGAGGACUUAUCCAAAA
Molecule: ribosomal RNA, 1928 nt
Filed under: Streptococcus mutans N29
Lineage: Bacteria; Bacillati; Bacillota; Bacilli; Lactobacillales; Streptococcaceae
Description: bacterial LSU rRNA
Rfam family: Bacterial large subunit ribosomal RNA
Source: RNAcentral